This 433-nucleotide ribosomal RNA is filed under the name uncultured bacterium. Its description in RNAcentral is "partial 16S ribosomal RNA". It matches the Rfam family "Bacterial small subunit ribosomal RNA", at positions 29 to 507 of the family's 1533-position model. The record is from RNAcentral.
AACGAACGCUGGCGGCAUGCCUAACACAUGCAAGUCGAACGAGACCUUCGGGUCUAGUGGCGCACGGGUGCGUAACGCGUGGGAACCUGCCCUUAGGUUCGGAAUAACUCCCCGAAAUGGGUGCUAAUACCGGAUAAUGUCUUCGGACCAAAGAUUUAUCGCCUUUGGAUGGGCCCGCGUUGGAUUAGCUAGUUGGUAGGGUAAAAGCCUACCAAGGCGACGAUCCAUAGCUGGUCUGAGAGGAUGAUCAGCCACACUGGGACUGAGACACGGCCCAGACUCCUACGGGAGGCAGCAGUGGGGAAUAUUGGACAAUGGGAGAAAGCAUGAUCCAGCAAUGCCGCGUGAGUGAUGAAGGUCUUAGGGUUGUAAAGCUCUUUUACCCGGGAUGAUAAUGACAGUACCGGGAGAAUAAGCUCCGGCUAACUCCGUG